Molecule: long non-coding RNA, 3829 nt
Filed under: Citrus x clementina
Lineage: Eukaryota; Viridiplantae; Streptophyta; Magnoliopsida; Sapindales; Rutaceae
Description: Citrus clementina (C. clementina) long non-coding RNA (CCLE_LNC003651)
Source: RNAcentral
AAGGAGAGAAGAAACAUAAAAAGUAGUAGUGUGGACAAGAAAAGUCAACCAGUGCACGGGCAGCCGCAAUAUUAAGAGCACGGGCGUCCUACAUAAGAGCAGCCUGCACAGUCUACAAAUACAAAACGGUUUCAAAAGAAAUCAAUGGCCGUGAUUACUUAGAUGUAACAGUUUCAGACACGAGGGGCACGUGGCACAAGAUUAACAUGGGAUUAUGGGAGGCAAUAUCCUGUUGAGUCCUGACAAAUUAAUCGAAAUGAAAGCAACAUGGCACAAGUUAUCAGUGAGCAAGGCCGACAUAAGUAAAUUAUGGGAUUUCAGGCUUGUGGGGUUGGCAUUAUUUGGCUUGCUUAUUUCUAAACACAUCAACAGAAAAAUUAAUGUGUUCGCCCACUGCCCCGUUAAGAUAUAGCAUGUACAUAAUUCAAUUCAGAAUUUACAUCAAAUCAACCCCACAUGCGACAUUGAUUUCUUUAACUAUUUAUUAUGUGUAAUGCAGCCGAGGAUCAAGUUCUUGCCUUGUCUGACCAGUGAAGAGUACAAGUACCUCAAAUGAAAUGAUGAUAAUGGUAAUGAAUGACGAUAGGUGAUGGAUUUGGCUUUGGCAUACGUGCAAUAUCAAGUUUGUAGGUUCAUGGGAUCAGGUUCUCUGUAAUUAUGGGGGUCUUGCUAAGUUGCCCAUGCAAAAAUGAAGUGGAUCCCAUUUCCUUGUAAUUCCUUUUUGCAUGUUUUAGGGGUAAUGUAUAUUAGAUGAAUGGUAACUUAGCAAAAGCCUAAUUAUAUACAUUGGUUGGUUUUCGCUUGAAAGAGAAACAAGUUUGUAAAGUUAAUUACAUUAAGCAGGAAGCUUUACUAGAGAAGGUUAUCCGCUGCGUGGGACGUUAUUAAAAUUGUGUUAGCAAGGGAGUGCUUUGUAGAUAUAGAGUAUAUGAAUCUUAGGGUCGGUCUUAGAAAAGUAUGAGUUACAAGUAGCGCAUAUAUGAUAUAGUAAUCUUAUCUUAAAAAAUAUAAAUUAAUCAUCAAGGACAUCGAGAUUAAGCUCAAUUUAUGUAAGGUAUAAAUAAUAAGGAAUCCGUUACUGUAUCAAAGUAAAGAUCAAAUCAAAAGGUAAGUAAAACAUACAUUCUACUAUAAUAUGUUUUGUCAAAUAAUAUAUGAUGCUUUUAUCUUUUAACUUAUUCUUACAUCAUUAAAAUAAAAGAUCCCUUAUUAGAAGGCGACUAUAUAUAUCUAUAUAGUAUAUAUUUUAUUUCUACAAUAACUUCCUAAUCAGUGAUUUCUUAUUUUAACAAAAUGAAGACCAAACUAAAAUAGAACACACACUCCAAUACAAUGUGUUUUAUUUUUUUUAGCGUAGUUGAUUGCUUAGGGAAAAAUAUUUGACAUCAAAUGAGAUUAAUUACGCCAUUAAUAAUAUAAGGUUGAGACAAAUCCUCAAUUCUUAGCUAACCAUUAAGUAACAGUUAGGCACAUGAUUUUAUUUUAUUUAUAUAGUAUCAGGACCAAACUCAACUACGACUCUAUAGAUAAUUUAUAAUGUGAUUAGAGUAUGUAAAUAUAUCACUCAAAAUUAUCUUACUACAUGACAAUGAUCAAAAUGAAAAACUAACUUUAUGUUAUAAGGGUAACCGAAAAAAUAUCUCACAUUAACUCAAAUUAGUUAACUUCUGAAUAUAGAGAAAUAGAGAAUUUCUACAAAUGGAUUAUACUUUUGUAGAGGCUGGCCUAUAAUAGCAUCUCUAUCCAAUGGUUUAUAUGUUGGUAUCUUUAUCCAGUGGUUUAUAUGUUCUUGGAGUUACGGAAGUGGCCACUCGUAAACUUUGAACCACAGCUCGUGGGCGAAAAACCGAUUAUUUUGACUUUUGACAUAUUCAAUUUGCUGCGAUCGCUUUAUAAUGACAAAGUAAACACGAAGUGUCUUUUUUUCCCCUUAUAAAUCCUUUUAAAAAAAAAAAGGAUUUUCUUAAUCAAAAAAAAAAAAAAAGGAUUUUGAAGUUUUCUUCGUUAAAAUAGACUAUGUACAUCUGUGCACUUCACCUGUUAAAUAUUUAAUGGAUUGGUCCAGACCCCAGACGGUCAAACUAUACAAAACUCAUUGCACCCAAUUCCUAACAAAAAUUAAUUAAUCACUAUCACUUUGAACAGAUGUUCGGCUGUCUCUGGGCUGGCAUAAUGAAUCUUCAAGGAGGUCGUUCAUAUAUCAUAGUAUGUAAAUGUUGGUAUAAGAAUUGAUAUUGUUUGAUUUAAACAAAGUGAGUGGGUUUCUAGCUAAGGAAAUAGUAAAUUUUAUAAGAAAUUAAUCUACAUAUAUCCAGCCUUUAUCGUAGUUCAUCAUGGGAUCCAUGAAGAUCCAUGCAUAUUGGUAAAGUAGGUUGGUUCAGAUCCUUUUUUUAUUGGCACCUUAAAAUCUUCCAAAAACCUUUAAGACUGUUAAAAUUGGGAAAGAAACAAACGGCCCUUUACACGCUCCUCGCUCGCCAUCUAUUCCAAACUCAUCGGUUACUUUUUGGUGGAUGUGAACGUCGCUGUCAAAUGUCUAUCACACAUGCACGUCCCGUCGUUCAGUCCUCACUUUUCAUGCGUGCCCUUUCUCUCUAGCCAUAGCCCCCACACACACCACCACCCCCCCCCCCCCCCAACCCCACCCUCUCUCUCUCUCUCUGUCUUCACGCACACAUACACACGCGGCGCAAGUUAGAGACCCGUGCCGUGGCAACAAACAUCUGCGUUACUCUUUUCGACAUCCUGAAAAAAGUUGGGGAUAAUAGCAGACCAGAGAUUGGGUUACGUUAAAAGAAAAGAAAUCAAAAAUAGAAUUGUGAAAAUAAAUGAACACAAUAUUUGUAUGUUUAUCCGUGUUUGUUGGUACGUGCGUCCUUUCAUAGCUCAAUGGGCAAUAGCCGAUAUGGCUAGGAUUUCAUAAAAAGAGAGACGUGUGACCGACAUAAAAGUAACACAAACUUAAUACUAUGAUAAGCUUUUUCUUUUAUCCCGGUUAAUUCUAAGCUCCAAUGGGUGCUCUCAGUUGGAACCGGACAAGAUCCCUGAAUGCUAAAACCAAGUGUCAGAUAUAUCGGGGCAUCAUAAUAAGAAUGGAGGGCUGCGACUACUGUUAAGAAGCCACGCGUUGCUGAGUAUUACUGACGACCCAAAAAAAACAAAAGAAAGGAUAAUUAAGCGAUGGAUGUUACAUGUUGAACUUUUCAAAGUAGUGGUUAGUAGGAUAUUGUAGACCUAUAGGUUUUGCCUAGACAUUUUUGGAUCUCGAAAACGUAGUAACCAAACCAAAGUAGGGUGGUUUGUAUCAGAGAUUAGGGUUAGGGUUAGAGUUUUAAGUUCGUGUGUCCGAAUGUUAGCUCUCCUCUCUCGCACGUGCACGCGUGUGUGUGUAUUAGCGUGAGUGAAGAAAGAGGGGACAUGCAAAUUUUCACUUUUUCAAAUUAAGGUUUUUUUUUCUCAGUAAUUGUAUUGGCAUUUUUAAAUCUUCUGUUGCAUCAUAACCCAUCGAUAUUUACUAAACCAAUUGUGUGUGCAUACAUGGAUUUAACUUUUUAGUGAGAAAGCUUUCAAUUUCUUAAAAUUUACACUUAUCUUUAGCGUAUUAGAGCUCGUGUUUAAAUAGAAAAUUUAUUUAAAAUUUAAAUAAAACCAUUUUACUUAAUUUCAUGUCAUAACUUGUCAUUCAUUUAUUAGACUUUUGAAUUUUAUAACUUAAGAGAUUAUUAUUUUAUUAUCUAAGUGAUGAAUCAUAUCGUUCGAGACUCGAACUAUGACUAAAUGAGUAUUUAUUUUUUAACUUAACGACUUAGAGUGACUUAACUUAAUAAGU